RNAcentral lists this ribosomal RNA (468 nucleotides) under uncultured bacterium. RNAcentral's name for it is "partial 16S ribosomal RNA". It matches the Rfam family "Bacterial small subunit ribosomal RNA", at positions 28 to 507 of the family's 1533-position model. The record is from RNAcentral.
GACGAACGCUGGCGGCGUGCUUAACACAUGCAAGUCGAACGGAAAGGCCCUGCUUUUGUGGGGUGCUCGAGUGGCGAACGGGUGAGUAACACGUGAGUAACCUGCCCUUGACUUUGGGAUAACUUCAGGAAACUGGGGCUAAUACCGGAUAGGAGCUCCUGCUGCAUGGUGGGGGUUGGAAAGUUUCGGCGGUGGGGGAUGGACUCGCGGCUUAUCAGCUUGUUGGUGGGGUAGUGGCUUACCAAGGCUUUGACGGGUAGCCGGCCUGAGAGGGUGACCGGCCACAUUGGGACUGAGAGACGGCGCAGACUCCUACGGGAGGCAGCAGUGGGGAAUAUGGCACAAUGGGCGGAAGCCUGAUGCAGCAACGCCGCGUGCGGGAUGACGGCCUUCGGGUUGUAAACCGCUUUCGCCUGUGACGAAGCGUGAGUGACGGUAAUGGGUAAAGAAGCACCGGCUAACUACGUG